This is a long non-coding RNA of Dromaius novaehollandiae (emu), 5378 nucleotides long. RefSeq lists it as uncharacterized. Lineage: Eukaryota; Metazoa; Chordata; Aves; Casuariiformes; Dromaiidae. The record is from RefSeq and is a predicted model, not a curated record. The transcript is spliced from 5 exons.
GUGCCCGUGGCUGCAGCUGCCGCGGCACUCCAUGCGGGGCACCUUGGAGGCGCUGACGCACGACGUGUAGCCCUGCUGCUUACGGAUGACUUCCCGAACGAUCUCGCCUUGACAGAGAUUCUCUGGGACCGGCAAAUGCCAUGCUUGCAGAUGUUACAGGAUUUGCAACCAGGAAAGACGCCUAGUGACUGCUGUGGUAAAUCCUUGAAAUCCUGCAGCUCAUUAUUGAUGCGGACAUCAUGAAUGCAUCCAUGAAAGCCAUUUGGUGUCUUAUCUGCACCCUGGCGCAGUGAAGAUAAUCCAGUAGAGGUUGGGAUCCCUUCAGAUAAAAACAAAAAGGGAAGACUUACUCACAGGAGGAGGGUUGUUAGACCAGGUGAUGUAGUUGGAGAGAUGGACAAGAUUCUGGACACAUGAAGCCUCAGAAUCCUUUCCACAGGAUGGAAGAUGAUUUGCUUCUGCAAGGACUAGUUAGAAUCUCAACCAAAGUGAAGAGCAACUGGCUGUACCUCCAAUGUAGAGGGGUGUGUUGAGGCUGACAGAAGAUUGUUUCUGGAGUUUUCCCAGACUCUUGGGAGUCCCCUUGUCCACCACCAGGUUCAGAGUUUGAUUCAGCAUCACCAGCUCCACGCUAUGAAACUGCCCAUCGUUCACUGUUUCCACACUAAAAAUAAAAGUCCAUGUAGAAGUGCCAAUGAAAGGAAGAAGAACAGCCAAAACCCAUCGUCUCUGGCAGCUGUGCAUUGAGGAGCUGGGAGGAGUAGCUGUAUGACAAGGAACCCUUCCCACUGGUGGGAUCAAUAUCUGAAGCUAAUGCACAAAACUACAUCCUUAUCUGAAGGAGGCCAAGCUAUGACCAUUUGUCAGAGGACAACAUUAUCACAUUUGGCAGUGCUAGCUCUUCCUUGGGCCAGGAUUUCACAGGCAUUAAUCACCUACUCCCCCACAGCAUGUGCUUUUUCCAGAUUAUGUAGAAGAGCCUUGACUAAUAGGCAAACAAAAGUCUGUGUGUCCUGGCAAUGCAACCAGCCACCCCACGCAGUGCUCACACUUUUCGGCAUACCCAGAGCUCGUAUUUUCAUUGGAAAAGCAGUGAGGUGCUCCCAUCUGUAGGUACUGGCGGGUGAAUAUUAUUCAGUUCUGACUCUUACACUUUUUAACUCAGGAGUAAAAUAUUGUAUGCCUAUAGACUGAGAAACAGAAGGUAGCUUCAGCCAUCAUCCAACACUGUAGUUUUGGAAAGCAGAUAAAGGCAAAACAGGCAAAGCACUCAUUUGCUUUUUGAGAAGACACUAACAUAUGAUGGAAGAGCUGAAUGGGGAUGGCCAGGAUAGCAGAAAAUCCCUAGCCAGUAGAUACUUGUAUUAAAGCAUUUAUUGUUGCUGCUGACAGAAAGACUUUUAAGAAGUCUUUGGAUUUUGAGAGAGACUGAGACAACACUGGGGGAGAAGCCAGCGGUGAGGGAAACGCUACACGAACUCUCCUUGGAGCCUCUUAUGUAGCUGGGCCCUUAGGAGACUCAGCAAUCGUCUGAGACAGUUGGAGACAGUGGUUUGGCCAGAGAUGAAGGGAAGAAAGCCACAGACGCUGAACAGUGCAUCACCACGCAGCUCGGAGCACAAACUUGCUGCGCUCGGCUUUUUUUCAAGGGGCCUUUUCCUGACCCAGCUCUCUGCAAGGGUUUUAUUAAAAUCUUAAUUGAAUUCUUAUUGGGGAUCAGGUGGUCUUACAGAGCUCAUCCUCCUGCCACAGCCUGCGGUAUGUAAAUACCUGCCUCGGAGUCAGGGAUUUAUUGUGUUUCAUCGGCAAUCUCGUUCGACAGCACUACCGUGCGCGAUGCCGGGGGCAUGGGUGCGGGAGCUUUUAAGCCUGCUGUAUUGACACUGGCAAUGAUGUGGUGAACAUGAGCUGUAGGAUUAAGACAGGAACAGCAAGGUGUAAACAUUUUAUGGCUCUGCAAAGCCCCGAGGCAAGGAGUCUAGAAUUGCCGCUGUGGUAGCCACAGCGCAUAACCAAGUCAGCGUCUGACCACGAGAGGGAGAUGGAGUAUCACAGAAAGGACCAAAGUGCUUCGGAAAAUCAGCAAGGCUUUUGCAUUCCUCCCAUUCGCUCUCCGAACCUGGGCUUUUUACAGCUUCAUUCACAAAUGAAUAUUGCACUCUGUUACUCACUCAGGAGAGAGGCAGAAGAACUUUUACAAGCUGAUGCUGCAGGUUUAUUUUGGCUUGCUGCUUAGAAUUUAUUUACUAAAGCAGAUCUUGUAACGUCACACACCUGACAGCUGACUUGAUCUUACACAACUCCUUCCUUUCUGCAAAGGUUUUCAUGCUUUAUGAUUAAAUCAAAAUAAUAUGUCUGAGCAAGGCAAGGGAGAGGGGAAAGGAACUGCAGGAAGAAGCCAAAUGGCUGCUGGAUUUGCACCAAGUUCUUUUUCAGGGGCACUGACAAAACCAAGUCCUGGUUUUUGAGAUUUUCCAACUAUCAGAGAGUCAUGAAUUUUUAGCCAGGUUACAAUUGCACUGUUGUGGGCCACUACCACUGGAUAUUAUAUAGUUUCCAAUGUAUUCUUGCUAAAUAAAGGAAGGAAUAUGUUUAAGUGUAAACAUUUGAAGCGUAAGCAAGGAUUUCCAGGAAUUUAAUUUAACAAUGCAGCUUGCUGAAUGAUAAACAGUAAAAGAAGCCAAAAGACCAGCUUUAUAUAAAAAUUGGAAAGAUUCUUCUUCAGGACCCAGGAAUUGCUUCGCUGACUGCAAUAAACAGUUUGCUUAGGGCCCGUCUCGUCACAGACAUUUCAUAUAGACUAUUCUCACAGUUUCUACAGUACCUUCACCUAAGGCUUGUUACAGACUUGACGCUGAAAAACCAUUUCAGUUACCAUCCAAGUGCAGUCACUUCUGGUGCCUUAGAAAUAGUUACCUUGAGCAACAGGAAGUAAUAGAGGGCCAAAUCCUGAUGUUCAGCAGGAGGAUUGGCUGUACCAGCGGUGCAGAGAAGAUCCACAUCUGAGCAAGCUCCUGCAGGCCCUGAGGCAGGAGAGCUGCAUUCCUGCUCCGCGUUGCAGGACUGAGCGGCUCCGGGAGGCUCUCACUUAGGGAACGUGCUGCUCCACAACCAGCAGCAUCGCGCACCUCUCUCUCCUCCGUCACCCUCAUCUUCUCAUAGCCCAGGUUACGUAUCUCGCACAAUCCGUUAUUUUCCUUUCAUCAAGGUUAUCCUAGCCUUUCAUUACUAUACUGUACUACACAGCUGAGAGCUGGCCAGAGCAUCUGAUCAAAUCUGGCAGGAUUACCAGGAUACCCAGGAAAAUACUAAAACAAGAUCAGAUUGUUACUCUUGCCAAAAAUAACACCGAAGCACCAGCAGUACACUCAGGAAUGAGUUUUAUUUUACUGUAAUCUUCAAGCAAUGUAGCAUCCCUUCACAGUGCACUGAAGCCUACAUACAGAAUUAACACAAAGGAAAUAGUAGCACCUAUUAAUCAUCAUCACUGAACCUCACAUGAGAAAUUACUGGAAGAUAUCGCCCUCAACUGCUCAAUGAUCCAGACAGCUUAACUUGUAAGGUCAUUGAAAUUAUGGCUUUAGCAGUUACAGGCUCAGGCUGUAGGUUAUGAUGUCUCCUCCAGAUCUGGAUAGUCUGUUAUUCUCAUUGAGGAUUCUCUGAUUUCCUCUUUUUCUCACAGGCACCUAAUCACCUACUUUAAUUCUCUAUGCACUGGAGACUUUUAUUCCACAGAAUUCUAGGUAUGUCUUGAGGUCUAGAUAAACGCUCUGCAGGUUCCUGUGCCUAGUCAGCAGGGGAAGCUAAGCACUUCUGAAAACCUCUGAAAAUGGAUUCAGAUGGUCUAAAUACUGUGCCGAGAAUCACUGAGAAAACGCCUACAGGGAAAAGAGAUGCAAGGACCUGGGUGAAACCUCAGCCAUGUGGAUAUUGCUCUUAGUUUCUGCAGUCUGUUAAGAUUCCUGCAAACAAUCUACAGAUAAAACAACCCACCUGAGUGACACAGCUAAGCGUAUAUGUGGGGAGAGCACAACUUCCAAACCUCAUGAGAACACCAGUGGGCCCAGCACCUUAUGUUCCCUCCAUGCCAACAUGGGAAGCUGGGAGCAGCUCUUGCAGGGAGCGGAGCCCGGUAGAGAAGGGUCUAUGGAAGAGCCAUUAAAAUGUCAUAUUGCAGGGAGGUGGCCUCAUCCGUCCGAGCAAUUCCAGAGAGAUGGGCAAAAGGACUCCUCAUAUGGGGCCCUCCACACACACACACGCAACGGACACCAUCUCUACCAGGAGCUCAGACUCCACAGCACAAAGGGAUGAAGGGAAGGGAUGUGUAUUAAACAUUAAAAACACAGCAAAUAUAUAAAAGAACUGAUUUCCUUGCUCAUUUUUGGUCUAUUUCUCUUCUGCCUCCUAUAUUUUCUUUCUCCUCCACUUCAGCCCCAAACACACACUGCUGUUAUAAACACUGCCUCCCCUUGCUCUAAUACCCACCAGUGCUUUACAGCUGAGCCACUGCAAAUAUGCCACUGAACAGAAAUGCAUUAAAGGAUUAAACCAUUCAAUUUGAACUUGUAAAACUUGGGCUUUGGGGUGCUUGUUUUUUGCUGAUGUGUAACGUACCUUUAGUGGAGACAGCAGGGAACAGCAGGGCAGAGAAGUCAAAAACAAAAAUAGCUUUAAGUAUCACAGCACACCAUGUCACUGAGGAAAUGUAUAACCAUCAAUUAUGCAAACGAGGACAUCAAUUCAUUAACUAUGAUCUCCAGAUUUUCCUGACCUCUGUCUUAAUGGGGACAUGCCUCAUUUGAAGUGCAGAACAAAGCAAACAUGAAGAUGGGAAGCAACUGAGGAGUGAAGGCCACGGAGUACACUGAAGUUAGGCAGUGUUUGAAAACACUCAGAGUCGAAGGGAAUAACCAGAAAUCCUGUCCAAAAGCUAAUCAGCUUACGACGCACGAGAAGGGCAAGCAUGGGAGAAGCGGUACCAAAAUCAAGAAACACACUGUUACAGCUGCAGGGAAAUGCAUUAAGGCGUUAGCGAUUUGGGAGUGGUGAAAGUCAUUCUGCACCGGACUUACUUCAGGUAUCAGUGGUGAUGGUUUUUCAUCUUUCCCAGUUCCAGUUACCUCCCAUCCUUAGUUACAGUUAUAAUCAGUCCCCAGUCUAAAAUAGAUUGAAACUUCUCCAUAGCAACAAAGGCAAAGUCAUAAUUGGAGUCAUGUUUGUACUGUUUCUACAAUAACCCAUCACUUCAAGCACUAUCAUCUUCAGAAGCCAAAUAAAAAACACAUGUUGAGAAAAAGCAUGAAAAAUGUUAAUGAAACACAAAACUAUGGAAGUAAGCAGUGAAAAAGAUAUAUUAAAGCACUCUAGUUAAUUUUCAG